CUUGCUCAUUCUUAGCGAAGUAGUUAAAUGUAAGUGUUCUGGACAAAGUGCAAGAAUCGGUGCGCGCAGGCUUUGCAAUCUCCAUUACUGUGUCUCGUUCGUUUCUUAGCCUGUGCAAAACUAGCUCUCCGAUUUUCCUGUGAUCGGCAGAGUUUGAAGUGCCAACCUCAUCGGUUUUGUUUGUCAUAUACCCAUCUUCUAUCCAUCUCCUCCACUGAGGGCAAUCUGAUUUUGUAGUAAAGAUAUAUAUCUAUCUUAUAUUUAAUUCCCUCCACCAAUCUCGUUCGUUUCUUAGCCUGUGCAACACUAGCUCUGCGAUUUUGCUGUGAUCGGCAGAGUUGGAAGUGCCAGCCUCAUCGGUUUUGUUUGUUAUAUACCCAUCUUAUAUCCAUCUCCUCCGCCGAGGGCAAUCUGAUUUUGUAGUAAAGAUAUAUACCUAUCUUAUAUUUAAUUCCCUCCACCGAACAAUUUGAUUUUGUUAAUUCAAUCCUUUCUCUGGAUCUUAUGAGACUUAAUGCCCAACCAGUCUCGGUUUUGGGACUCUCCCCUAAUCUUCGCUGCUUUGAACUUAUCUUGUGUUAGAUAUAAGGUAUAAUUGGUCUGGUAUUAUUCUGCUUUUGUUGAUUGUCGUGCAUGUCUGUUCUCCAAUCAUUGAGGUUUAUAUAGAGGUUUAUAUAAAUUAGAACGUGACCGGUAUUUUAUAUGCUGUACUUUGGCCUAUUUCCUUUCAAUUCUUAUGGAGCAUGCGCAUGGGAGUAAGCUUUGUUUGUGGUUAGGUGAAUCAAAAGUUAUGGUACUACUCUUAUUGAAACCUUCUUACUUGUAUAUAGCUGAGCUUCUUUAAUGGGUCGUCCACGGAAAUAUGCAAGCUUGGAAGAGGCGACUAGAGAGAGGAAUGCGAGGAGACGACGGCAGCGUGGCAAUGCGAGUGCUAAUGACAGUUCUGGAGAAUGCCGAG
RNAcentral lists this long non-coding RNA (958 nucleotides) under Coffea arabica (coffee). Its description in RNAcentral is "long non-coding RNA (CARA_LNC003246)". The record is from RNAcentral. Lineage: Eukaryota; Viridiplantae; Streptophyta; Magnoliopsida; Gentianales; Rubiaceae.